CCAGACUCCUACGGGAGGCAGCAGUGGGGAAUAUUGCACAAUGGGGGAAACCCUGAUGCAGCGACGCCGCGUGAGUGAAGAAGUAUUUCGGUAUGUAAAGCUCUGUCAGCAGGGAAGAAAAUGACGGUACCUGACUAAGAAGCCCCGGCUAACUACGUGCCAGCAGCCGCGGUAAUACGUAGGGGGCAAGCGUUAUCCGGAUUUACUGGGUGUAAAGGGAGCGUAGACGGUAGAGCAAGUCUGAAGUGAAAGCCCGCGGCUCAACUGCGGGACUGCUUUGGAAACUGUUCAACUGGAGUGCCGGAGAGGUAAGCGGAAUUCCUAGUGUAGCGGUGAAAUGCGUAGAUAUUAGGAGGAACACCAGUGGCGAAGGCGGAUUGCUGGACAGUAACUGACGUUGAGGCGCGAAAGCGUGGGGAGCAAACAGGAUUAGAUACCCUCGUAU
This 445-nucleotide ribosomal RNA is filed under the name uncultured bacterium. RNAcentral describes it as "bacterial SSU rRNA". It matches the Rfam family "Bacterial small subunit ribosomal RNA", at positions 331 to 793 of the family's 1533-position model. The record is from RNAcentral.